UGCUUAACAACCGUAGCAAAAAAAGGUCAUAAAAUAGGACAAAACUCACUUAGCAACUGCCUUGCUUAGCAACAAAGUUUGGGCUCAAUUUUGGUCAUGAGAUGGGGAUUACCUAUAUAAUUUUUAUGUGUAAUAAUCUUAGCAAAGGAAUAAAUGAACUAUAUACCGAUCAUUUUUUUAAAAGAAAAUCCAUAUUGAGGCAAUAUGUUUUAAAAGUUUCCUUUAUCAUCCUACCAGAGAUCUUUUCCAAAUUUUGCAGAAACAGAAUGACUUAUUUAAAUUUUUAUGAAGAUAUAAAUUACUGAUGUUAUUAAUCUACUGAACUUCUGUGUUUCCAGAAUGGAUGACAAAGUUUUUGUAGACUUUAUGUCAGGUUUUCUGUCAAUGUUGCAUUAAAAUAUGAGGAAAAUAAAUUUGAUAAAUCUAAUCAAUUAUAGCUCUAUGUGUAUUACUAAAGGAGAAACAUUAUUUAAAAAGCCAUCAUGAUUUUUCUCUAAUAUUAAUGCAAAAAUCUUGAUAUACAGUUUCAUCUGUAUGUCUUUCACCAUUCAAUGAGAGUGCCUUCCAGAUGGGAACUUUUACUUGUCACAGAUUUAAUGGUUAUUACUUUUGGAUACAUAAAGGUGUAGCUAAACAGGCAGUUUGACUGUAAUCUUUGGGAUAUAUAUAUUCUGCAAAACAUGAUUCUCAGUGCUACAUUUUAUUAUUAUAUCAAUGUAACAUAAAACGUUAAUGUAUUUAAUCAGAAUCAUUUCAGUCAGUAUUGAGUCAGUAUUUCACAUUGGCAUGUUUUAAUAGCAGAAACAUUACAUAGCUGUCAUUGUUUCAGUCAAAAGUCUGCUAUCCUACUAGGUGUUUCGCUUGCUUCCAUUAUCUUUGCUUUAUAUGGUCCAAUUCUGUUUCAAGGCAAAAAAAGAUAAUUAAGUUCUUGUGUGGCACUCAUAAAACAUUAUAAUUCAGAUGUAGGGCAUCUUCCAGUCAAUGUGCUUAAAUAUUAUUAACUUCCCACCCUCAUUUUCUUACUUAACUUGAACUUUCUUUUUCAUAAAGUCUAAACAAUACAUCCAUAUUUGAAUGCCUUAUAAACAUUCCAAACAAUAAAUCCAAAAGUCUAUUUGCAAUAAAAGAAUCUUCAAACUCUUGUAUCUAUUUUUCAAAAAGCAAAUCUUUUAAUAAAUAUAUAUUAAGUGCCUAGGAAAAAAAUGGAACAAUUAUUUCUUGUAGGAAUUGAACUGGGGCAAAAUUUUAUAUAGGGACAUUACUUGUAUUACAUUUUUAAUCCAUUGAACUAAAAUUGAGAUACCAGAAGAUAAUGUAGUUAAGAAAACUGGUGUAGAAUUGAAAAAAAAAGUUUUGAAAUAGUUAAGUCACUAAAUAUCCACCAAAUUAAAAUCUGACAUAUGAUUCUGUGAUACUUUUAUCAACUGGUACUAUUGAUUUAAUUAAGGAUCUGAAACUUAAGCCGACAUUACAUUUUAGGAAUAAAUGAACACAAGGGGACAAGAACUAACCACUUUAUAUCAAAUGUAUUAUACUGUACUACUUGAAAAAUGAGACCCUACAAAAUAACACUUAAGUAGUGUUUUUAUGCAAGUUAAAUUUACUCAGAAUUUGCUAAGCUUACCCAGAAGUCCAUGGAAAGAGAACAGUCAGAUAACAGUCAUGUUUCAGAAAAGGCAGAGGAGGUAGGGUAAGAUAGUUAGCCUAGCAUAGUUAACACGAGAGAACAACUGAAUGUAAGACCUAUAUUUUAUUGAAAACAGUUAUUGUAUCUAUUUCUAGUUGUUCCUGCCAAAAUGUGAAAUAUAUUAAGGUGAAUGGGUGUGAAAAAAUAUAUUAUGGUUAAUUUUGGAGAGACAAUUUGGGUUUUUGGGAAACUUAGUUGUUCAAGAAUAGCGAUGGAUAUGAAAGGAAGAUGCAUAUUAUCAAUUUAUCUCAUUUCUAACAAUGGCCACAUUAGAAGACGACAGUGGAAAUAAAAAGUGGAGGCAAAACAGUAAUAUUUUGAGAUAUGCAGACAAUGCCACUAUAUUAGCUGGUAUUAUGUUUAGAUUUAAUUGUUAAGAGUAAAAAAUGGAAAAUUUAUCCUAAUAUUAAAUACUAAUGCCAACCAAUAUUCUCAAGUGAACUCAUAGUUUAUGGCAAAGAAAAUAAUAGAUAAUGAAAGAUAAGCAUUUAUUUGGCAAUAAAUAAGAAUAAUUGAAAAGCUUUUCAGUAGUUAUGUGCAUCAGUUUAAGGUACACAUUGAGAAAGUAUGACCUCAAACUGUGGAUGUGGGGUUCUAAGAAUACAACAACAUAUUCAAGAACUAAUCAAUUGACCCUAGACCAAAAAAGGAUAAGAACUUCCUUGAGCAAACAAAAAUAUAUUUUGGUCAUAUGACAGAAGUGAAUGAUGGGUUAG
Pseudonaja textilis is the source of this 2403-nucleotide non-coding RNA. NCBI's taxonomy places the organism in Eukaryota, Metazoa, Chordata, Lepidosauria, Squamata, Elapidae. The record is from RefSeq and is a predicted model, not a curated record.